Molecule: non-coding RNA, 117 nt
Organism: Terfezia claveryi
Lineage: Eukaryota; Fungi; Ascomycota; Pezizomycetes; Pezizales; Pezizaceae
Source: the annotation of a GenBank genome assembly
GGAAGGAUGGCCGAGUGGUUAUGGCGCGUGACUCAAGCAGAAUAUAGAAUAUGCUUCUGUUCUAAGAACAGGUUUCUCGUGGGGCAACCCGCGGGGGUUCGAAUCCCCCUCCUUUCA